CGUCGGGCUCCCGGUGCAUGGAGCCUGCUUCUCCCUCUGCCUGUGUCUCNGUUUUUCCUAUUCAUGACUCAUUUUGCUCUUUGGCUAACACUCAGGCAAAUGUAGUGACAACUUAGUUUUCUUCUUCCUCUGAAAGCUUGUACACAUUUUCUGCCUCGGGUUGUGUCCACGAGGAUGCCUGGAGAAUGUUGACAAAGGAAAGGUUAGACUAGCCUGUUGAUGCUGCGUAUUUGGGCUUUAAAAAUCAAAAAGGUUCCUUGGCUUCCUCGGAGAAGCAUUCUGCUUGAUGGCCCAGAAUACUGAUCCAGUAAAAAAGACAUGUUCCAGCCAUCCUUCACACACACCUUAAGUGAAAUUAAUGAGAUCACUCUACAAUUACGCUUUGUGUUUUAUUUUCACUUUCCAGGUCUGUAUGAGCUGUUGGCUCUUGUGCCAGGCCAGCUAGGGCCACGUGUGGACAGCCAGGAAGACCUGACCUUCCUCUUGGAUAUGUUUGGUGAGAAAAGCCUGCAUUCACUGGUAAAGUGCUGACAGGCUGUACAAUGCAGAGAACAGGCAUGUGCGACUCUUCUGCUCUGAUACGGUGCUGAUCCAAAUUGUAUGGACAACAAGGGCAACAACGCUCUCCAUUAUGUGGCCUUUGAGGAUAAUUAAUGUCUCAAUAGGGAAGCUGCUUUUUACACAAAGGCGAUGCAGAGGCAAAAUGCAAGGGCGAAUUAGAAACUUCACUCAAGUCCUGGGCUCUCGCUCCGAACGGACUUCUUGCCACUCAACCCUCACCUGCUACAUUCCAACCAUUUCUACUUUGCACAUGAUGAUUGCUUCUACUCCAAACAUUCUCACUGUGGGUUUUUCCUUCCCCCGCGAUGGCACUCCCUCCUAGUCUGCCUGGCUGCUCCAAGUCAACAUUUCAGUUUUAAUGGAACCAUCUCUUCUGGGAAGGCAUAGCUCUUGUCUUAGAGCUUUUUGUGCUCUUUGAGUCAGCAUUAGAUUAGAUUAAAUUAGAUUUUCUUGCAAUUUCCUCUUGUACCCCAUAUUUCCCUAGUUUUAACAUUGUAUUUCAUUUAACUACUUAUUAAUUGUCUGUACUUCCAAAUAGAUUGUGAACUCUAUGAGGGCAGUUGGCUAUAUUUUCUCUUGGCUACUGUGUCAAAGUAAUCAACACAGUGCUCACAGUGCUUAGUGACUUCAAAUAAAUAUUUGCUAAAUAAAAUGUGAAAAAUUGAC
This 1227-nucleotide long non-coding RNA is filed under the name Vulpes vulpes (red fox). RNAcentral describes it as "lncRNA (ENSVVUG00000010929.1)". Lineage: Eukaryota; Metazoa; Chordata; Mammalia; Carnivora; Canidae. The record is from RNAcentral.